RNAcentral lists this ribosomal RNA (391 nucleotides) under uncultured bacterium. RNAcentral's name for it is "bacterial SSU rRNA". It matches the Rfam family "Bacterial small subunit ribosomal RNA", at positions 29 to 420 of the family's 1533-position model. The record is from RNAcentral.
ACGAACGCUGGCGGCGUGCUUAACACAUGCAAGUCGAGCGGUAAGGCCCUUUCGGGGGUACACGAGCGGCGAACGGGUGAGUAACACGUGGGUGACCUGCCCUCAGCUCUGGGAUAAGCCUGGGAAACUGGGUCUAAUACCGGAUAUGACUCCAUGACGCAUGUUGUGGGGUGGAAAGCCUUGUGCGGCUGAGGAUGGGCCCGCGGCCUAUCAGCUUGUUGGUGGGGGAUGGCCUACCAAGGCGACGACGGGUAGCCGGCCUGAGAGGGCGACCGGCCACACUGGGACUGAGACACGGCCCAGACUCCUACGGGAGGCAGCAGGUGGGGAAUCUUGCGCAAGUGGGCGAAAGCCUGACGCAGCGACGCCGCGUAAGGGAUGACGGCCUGGU